Molecule: RNA transcript, 1065 nt
Organism: Synchiropus splendidus (mandarinfish)
Lineage: Eukaryota; Metazoa; Chordata; Actinopteri; Syngnathiformes; Callionymidae
Exons: 3
Source: RefSeq, a predicted model, not a curated record
GAGGCCAUCUUGGAUGAUUUACUGAGGCUUCACGACAUAUUAACAUCAUAUGUGCUCUAUGCGAAUAGACGUAGGACAUAUGUUCUAUGGAAAGGAGUCUCCGACUUGGAUAUCCGAUCUCGGGGCGUCGAAACUGCAGGCACGUAACUGGGAAAUUCCCUGUUCCGAGUACAACUGGAACGCACCCUCGAUGGCUGAUCCGAUAGUAAAUACGCUCGAUGCCUCCACGUACAGUGUGGAUGAGGACUGCAAAACCGUGGCGAGCCUGGUCGUAGUUCUUGAUGGUGAGUCGGAGACAGGGCUGGAAGGCAAAAGAGAAAAGAGGACAGCGCUGACUCCCUCGGCCCAUCGCCUUCCCUGCCAGACUGUGAGAAGUUUGACAGGGCCCAGACUCUCUACCUCAUAGACGUCAUGCGCCAAUACUUGCAGACAGAGGCAGGUGGUCGUCCGAGAACUCUUAAGGAACUUCACUCAUGUCUCAGAGCUGCAAGGUCAAACAUGAAGGUCCUGUGGAAGGAGACAGCGGCUAAACUCAGCACCAGGUUUAACAAGCCAUUCUGCCCUGAUAAAGUUGCCAGAAAGUGGAACACCCUUCUGGACGGUUACAAAAAAAUAAAAGUCAGUAACAGGGCAAAAGGAAGUCGGGCCAUUCGUUUCAAAUUUUAUAGUGAGAUGGAUUCAUUAUUUGGAGAGCAGCAUGACGUGGUCUUCCCGGUUGUUGGGACACACGUGGGACUUGACAUGAGGAGACCAGAGAUGAUUGCGCCUCCAUUUAUAGCGACAGCUCGAGCUGAGCCUGCCGCUUGCUCCAGCACUGAGCCGCCGCAGACACCCUGCACUGCGCCGCGACAAAAGCGACAGAGGGAGGAUGACAUCCUGCGCUACCUGCGAGAGUCUGAGGCAGCCAGUCAGAGGCGCCAUGAAGAGCUACUGGCCCAACUGCAAUCGUCCCAGAAAGGGUUUGAGAGCCUCAUGAAUCGGCUGAUCGACAAACUUUGAAGUUUGCUCUCAAUUUGUUUUCUUUUGUGCACUGUGUUGAAUUGUGUAAUAAAUGACAAAACUAUA